Molecule: long non-coding RNA, 124 nt
Organism: Austrofundulus limnaeus
Lineage: Eukaryota; Metazoa; Chordata; Actinopteri; Cyprinodontiformes; Rivulidae
Exons: 3
Source: RefSeq, a predicted model, not a curated record
GAAGUACAGGAGCGAAAGGGCUUAUCAAACUGCGGAUAUGUAUCGCAUCACCGUCACUUCAGAUCCUCCAGCAGAAACAGGAAAAGUCUGCAUGACUGUGAAUGAAAACAAGGAAAUUGUGCCG